CAUCCCUUGCGCCCUGCGCAGUGUUGGGUGCAGCCUUUAGGGGCUCGCCUCAAAUCCAGUGGCAGCAACCUCAGAGCUUCUGUGCGCAGUGAUCACCGCCGCCAGCGGAGCUUAGGGGGCGCUUGCCAGUCAACCCCCACAUAUUAGG
RNAcentral lists this unclassified non-coding RNA (148 nucleotides) under uncultured Rhytismataceae. RNAcentral's name for it is "sequence contains ITS2". The record is from RNAcentral. Lineage: Eukaryota; Fungi; Ascomycota; Leotiomycetes; Rhytismatales; Rhytismataceae.